UUUUUUUUUCUUUUCUCUGCAUUACAGGCCAACUCAUUGACGGAGAUGUUUGCUGGAGGUCAACUAGAGCAUAAAGUGAUGCUAAAAGUCGGUUGUGUUGAUUACUCAACGACACCAUGGGAACCAGUGAAUUCUAACACAUAUCAGAGGCAAAUCAGUUACAAGUUUGACAAAAGUUUGUCACGGUACGGAGGAGAAGCCACAACAACCCAGCAAAAAUCUUCCAUCCCUGAUCAAAGUGGAUGGAUUAUCGAAGAGGUUAUGACUCUCCAAGGAGUCCUACUUGGAGACAACUUCAGUGUAAGAGCACCCAUCUUCAUGCUUCUAGCAUUUAUUAAGGUUUUAUUUUUGGAUUUAUUAAGGUUUUAUUUUUUGGAUAAUAUCUGGUGCUUGAUUUCAUGGAAGAAAAUAGCAUGGAACAUAUGAGUAAAUAGGAACGUUUUUUUUUUUUCCUUUUGAAGUACUGAAAUUCCCAUAGUAAGGCAUGCGGAGGUGAGGGUUGAGGGUGAGGCUUCGACUUUCAAGUCCGGCCUUUGAGUUUCUUAAAAAAAAAAGGGAUUUUGAUCAGUCUGUAUAUUUCCUAUGUUUUGACGUAGAGAGAUGUUUGUGAACUAUACGUCCUGUUGGGAAAAAUUGAAAAGUGAAAAUGUACAUGCACACCUCCAACUAUUGGUCUUUUGAAGAUAGAUCCCUAAAUUUAUCCACAGUUAUGGAUGAUUUAGUAAUAGGAGAGUGAUAGGACUCUUUGCAAAUGAAAAAUCUCAAAUCAAACAAUAUAAUAGGGGCUCUAAAUAAAAAAAAAAAAAACUUGUUGUACACUCCAAAAGGUAGUGUAUGAUUUACAUCCCUCCAUUCUAGGAUUCACAAAGCUUUGAAAUUUUUAAUAUUUGAAUAAUAAAAAGUUGACAAACAAGGGGUUACUAAUAGCCCUUGGAUGAAGGAAUGUAAGAUAUACACCCCCUUUGAAGGUGUACAGGUAGCAUUGUGUUGAAAAUGAGGAUGAAAAAUAUUAAUGGUAAUUUCACAAACACUUGGUGGACAAUUUCACAACCCACACCUUAUAAACAUUCAAUAACACAAGAGCAAUAACAAAAAAAAGAAAAUCACAAGAACACAAGGAUUUACAUGGUUCGGCUUGUUGGCUUAAAUGGGCCAGCAUCUUGCCCUGUGGCGGGAGGCCAUGUGGGCCGAGUCAUGUUCGAAAUGGCGUGAGGCUGGGUUGGGCCGACUCAUGUUCGAAGUGGCGUGAGGCCAGGUGGGCCGAGUCACAAUCGAGAUCCGUGGGCGCUGUUUCUGUACGCUUUAAGUGAAUUGGUUGCGUAUUUCUAACAGCUCGAGCUUUUGGGAUUAAUGGUUAGCGCCAACGAUCCGACAAGUGGUAUCAGAGCCAGAGGUCACGGGUUCGAUUCCCGCAUGCUGCAAAUGUGUGCAGGUGCUGGAGGGGGGAUUGUUGGCUUAAAUGGGCCAGUAUCCUACCCUGUGGCGGGAGGCCAUGUGGGCCGAGUCAUGUUCGAAAUGGCAUGAGGCUGGGUUGGACCGAGUCAUGUUCGAAGUGGCGUGAGGCCAGGUGGGCCGAGUCACAAUCGAGAUCUGUGGGCGCUUUAAGUGAAUUGGUUGCGUAUUUCUAACAGCUCGAGCUUUUGGGAUUAAUGGUUAGCGCCAACUAUCCGACACGGCUAUGCCUACAUCCACGGGAGAAUAAUGCAAUAAAAACAUUUACUAUAAAAUUUAGAGAUUACAAGAGAGAUACAAAUAGGAGAUAUAUUACCUUCACGUCAAGGUAUAAAGAGAGCUCCAACAAUCUCUAGAUCUAUUCAAAUGGUGUAAACCACAUCUCACAAGAAAGAGCCUGUCUCCUCCUUGAUAGAACUAAGAUUAAACCAAAUUCUAGGGUUUGCUCUCUUUUGUCCCACUUCUUUUCUCACUCUCCACUUCCCUCUUUUGUUUUCUACAAUAUUCUAAUUACCCCGCUUUAGUCCCUAAGACAAUAAGCUAUCAAAUAUAGGCCUUUGGAUUAAAAGAAUCAUAAUCCAAAGGCUUACAAGUAGGAGGCCCACUUACAUAGUAAGAAAAUAUAGAAAUAGAAAAAUUGACUUCACCAAAAUUACAUAGCCCGAAUAUCAACACCCAAAUAACAAAUAGACCCAAUGUAAUUUGCUCAACACAUUACUCUAUCAAAAGAUAUAGAUUUUACGUAUAUAUUCCUGAUCAAUAGAGUUAGGAGUGUAUAGUAGUUGGUCUAUUUUUAUUAGAGCAAUUCUACCCAUACACCCCAAAAAGAGUGUAAAUCUUAUACCUCAUCAAUCUAAUAGGUGUGGUUUCUGCACCACUCACAUCGAUGUGACUAAUGGGAUAACUCCACCCAUCGGAUUGAUGAGGUUUAAGAUUUACACCCAAAAAGUAGGUGUACGGGUAGCAUUUUCCUUUUUACAAAAUAUGUAGUUUACAAAAUCUCUGGAUGUUGUGAUUCCAAACGAGUGUUUCUGAAAACAGCUAUGAUAAAAAAGCUGGUCUUAUGUAGGAAAUCACGAGUACUCGGACCUGUGAAGUUAAAAUUUUAUAUGCUCUAUAUUUGAAGAACAAUUAGAAACUUUUUUAAAAAAAGAAACUUCUUUUCGUAUUUGCAACAUCUUCUUAGUUGCCCCUUGAAUUCUGAGUUUAAAUUGUAUUAUUGUGUUUGUUUAUUGCAGCUUCAACUGAAAUACCAGGCAUGCAACAUUCCUGAUAAAACCAAGGCAUGUAAUGUCCAAGCAUCACUGGGCAUUGCUUGGCUGAAGAGCACCAAGCAUCAGAAGAGGAUUACACAGAAUAUCAUGUCAAAUUCUUCCAUUCGGCUCAAAGAGAUCUUCUCAGAAGUUGAAAAGGAGCUCAUGAAUAGGAAACACGGUUGAUCGCCUGGGCUAGAAUGAACAUACACUUGUGUGGGAGCAAAUUCGAGUUUUAAAGCGAAGUGCGGCUCUCACUUGGCACAGGAGAGGAGUAGCAAAGAUAUACAUAUACUUCAAGAAUAUGGCCUUCAGUUAUAUGCUUCGAGAAUCCAUGAAAUGGCUCAGAUUUAAUGCAGAUUGUUAACAACAGUUACUUGCUGUUGGCAUAUCAAACUCAGAUGCUGCUGCCGAGCCAUUAUUUCUCUCUCUCGCUCUUUCUCUCCCUUCCUCUCUCUCUGUACACAUGUGAAUAGGAAACGGAAGAGAUGCAAGAUGAUUUGAUACUCAAAGCAUGGACUUAGAGAUUUUUGUUCUUUUUUUUUAAUUUUAAAUGUGCAUGUGAAAAUUUGAUGCAACGAGUAAUGAUUGGGUUCUCAUGGCUCAUGAAAUGUUGUAAAACUGUAAUCGGCCUCGGUAUGCUAUACUUAUUUCACAAUCAAAGGAGGAAUCCUACUGAGGAAUAGUGGUCUAUAUUUUUCAAGCAGAGCCAUACCUUGUUUAUAUGAUAACUUGGAAGCAAGUUAGUUCAGAAUAAAAGAAAAUCGAGAGUUUAUAUUGUAGCAUUGUAAAUAAACUUCAGUAAUACUCUGCUUUAACAGUAGCAGGCUCUAGUAGAGCAUUCUGUAAUGUCAGUGCGUAGGAAGAAAAAUUCUUGCGCAUGAGGCUGUAGGGAGUGCACACCCAAGCUAUCCUGGCUUUGCAAGGGGGCUUAAUAGGCAAUUGAGUUGACUUUGCUUGUGCAUUUGCUUUUAAGCUGCAGCCAGUUUUAAUUGUACAUUUUGUAAAUAUAUGAUAUCAUACCAUCAAGCUACUUACUUUUUGAUGCAGUUCUAUUCUUCAGGCUUUUAUCUCCAAAUCUGAGUUGACUUAUCACAGUGUAUCAGGUUUUGGAUAAAUGAAUUGAAUUCAUUAAAAAAAAAAAACCAACAAGAGGGUGUGAGAACUAUAUCUAAUUGUUCCCAUUAGGGAUAAUCGCAGUAAGGGGGGCCCAAUAGGUCUACUAGAGACACAAUAUCAAAAUAAUAGACAAUUGAUAGGAAAAUGUUAGAUGUGCCUUGAAAUUUAGUUAUCGACUUCGAUUUUGGGCCCGCGGUUUGUCAAUAGUUUUGUGAGAUACUGAAACUCGAUGGAUUGUGGCUAACUUUGGCCAAAUGGACCAAAGUGGGCAAUUAAACGGUUUGGACAAGUUCCAAUCGGCAUUCCAACAAGUUUGGAAGAGCUAAAAUGAGUUCCAAAGGUGUUGGAAUGGUUUUGACAUCGAUCGGCGAGAAGUAGAGCCGAAGUGGGGUGAAAAAUAGCACUCUGGAGCUGUUGUACCGGUACAAGGGUGAUGGCUAUACCGGUACAACCAUCGCAGCUCUCGGGUUGGGGGCUGCCAGGCCUUGUACCGGUACAAGGGGGCCUUGUACCGGUACAAGUCCUGCGAAACCGAGAAACCGAGCUCUCGGGUUGGGCUGUCUGCCAGGCCUUGUACCGGUACAAGGGACCCGAAACAGCAGGGUUGUUUGGAAAAUUAGAAAAUAGAGGGGCUUUUUAGGAUUUUGUUACAAGAGAGGGUUAUAAUACCUCUCUCUCAGCCACUCCCUCUCACUUUUAGCUUCUCUCUCUCCCUCUCACUUGCUCUCUCUCUCUCUAAACCGAAAAGAGAAGAAGAAGAAGAAAAGAAGGAGAGAAAGAAAGGGAAGAAGAAGAAGGAAAGGAAGGAGAAGAUCAAGGAGAAGAAAAAGGAAGCUCUCUCCCUCCUCUUCUUCAAGCUAGGGCUUGCUUUGGAGCAAACCCUAGAGGUAAGCCUCAACCCUAACUUGUGAAUCUAGAGUUUUGAGAGCUUUUUGUUGGUUUUAAUGGUUCAAAUGGAACCUAAUGAGUUUAGAGGACAUGGAUUUAGCUCACAUUGAAGCUAGAAACCAUAGUUUCCCAUGGGUGCUAAACCUAGGGUUGGAUUUUGGGAUUUUUGGGAUUAUAGGGUUUUGAUCUAUUUUGAUGGAUCAGAAACUUAAUUGUUAUGUUCCCGAACGCGUAGGCGAAGACGGUUCGUUGAUCCGGCGAGCGAGCGCGGAGAUAUCGCCGAUUUGGUCGCUCUAGGGUUCGUUUUGACCCAAGGUGUUGAAGCGACGCACGUGGACCGCAACGCCGAGCUUCUUAGCUUUUCGGCACUACCACAAGGUGGGUGGUGAUCUUCCCGAAGCCGCGGGGCUACGUUCUAUGUCCAAGUUUUAAUGUUGAUCUAGUUGCAUCUUAUUCAUGUGCAUAUAGGGCUAGUAGAUGAUUGUUGUUGUUCACAUUUGCAUGCUAGUAGCUAUAUAUUUAGUUGGUUGAUCCAUGAUCUAGUAUGCAUGAAAACUACAUGAUGAAAAUCUAGACCCUAUAUGAGAUGAUUAAUGCUUAUGUUGCUAAAGAACUAGUAUAAUGUAACAUGUGUUGAUAACGAGUCAAAAUGGCAAGUGGCACCUAAUAUAGAAAACUAUGACGAGUGGCAUAUGAUUAUUGAUAGCUUAUGACAUGAGAACCCUAGUGUAGCUGAAACACUGUGAGAUUGGGUAUUAGAACACCAUGAUUCUAUAAUGAGAUUACCCUCAGAGGGUAGGAUAUUGUUGAUUGUGAGUUGAUCGUGCUCACAUAGCCUGUCUGCGCUUGGAGGGGUCGCUCCCCGCAAGCUGUGCACUCCGGAGGUUGGUCACUAGAGGGACGGUCAGUGUGCUGUCUGGACGGUCUGUGUGCUAUCCACAGGCGGUCUCGGGAGUAGUUCAGUGAGACUUUCCCUAUGAGACUUACACGUGAGUUAUACUUGUGAACCUUGAGUUCGCCAUGGGAUUGGGUAACCUAUUGAGUCACACUCAUUAUUUGUUGUUAUAGUAGCUUCCCUAUGGUUGUUCAUAUUAGCUUUCUUCUUGUUGUUGUUCAUAGUAGCUUACUACCCAGCUUUAUUUAUUGUUCAUGCAUGCAUGAUAUCAGAUUGAGGCAUAGCUAGAUAUUCAUGAUUCUACCUACUUGCUUACGUUUCCUUACUUGCUCAGUUUUCGUACCUGCUUUUAGUUGGUUUAGCUCGUAUAUAUAUAUUGCAUAUAUAUCUCUCUAUACCUGCUUCGACCUAGUGGGUAGAACGGUGGAGUCAGCGGCCGAACCCAUUGGGAACUAUUCGUAGUUCUCACACCCUUGGUUGCAGGUGCUAGUUCGAGUGUCCCGACCGAGCGGGAGGAUCGCGGCAAGGGCUUGGCGCCCUAGUGGUAUUAGCUGAUAGCUUACUUUCUACUUGCAUUAGCUCCACCCUGUCCUUAUAUUUUGAGAGUAGAUGUUGUAUAGGGUGAGGAUUUUGGAGAGUAUUUGAUGUGUUUACAUUUUGGGAAAAGAUUGGAAACAAUGUAUGAUGAUUUAAAUGAUGUUGAAUGCAAGUUGUAUUUUAAAUGCUUCUAGUUUCAUGGUUCAAAUAGUUAAAUUUCUCUCUUUUGUUUACUUGUAUGCUUUUACUUGUAUCGCUUGCUCUUGAUGGUUUUAACAUUGUUUGUGUUAUUGUUAUAUAAUUGUAUAUAAAAUCAAGUUGUUUUUUCUGGGGACUUAUUAUACACAAUCUCGUUGGUUAGCCUUGGGCAGACAGGGGAGACUCUGUCCGUUCGGCCUCACGCCGCCGCCCUAGAACCGGACCAAAUAGGUACCGUUUUCAGGUCGUGCGGUUGGGGCGUGACAAGUUUCGCGGUGCGACAAAUUUUAAAAAAGAAUUUGUAAAGGAAAAAAUGGAUGUUUGUGGUGUGUAGCGGAGGGCUCAGCGUAGUCCACCAUUGACAUCGGAUGUGGGGUGUGGGCGAUGGAGGCCCGAACGUUAUGGAUUGGAUCGGAUAAUGAAGAAAACUAUUAAAGAAUUUCCUUUUUCUCUCUAGCCCUGACACGAUACAGUGCAUUGUAAACUCUAAAAAACGUUGUACUCCAUUUUUCAUAGUAAAGUUCUCUCCUCCUUCGCCCGUGGUUUAUUUUUCCCUGCAAAGAAUUUUCCACGUAAAUACUUGUGUGUUCUAUUUAUUUUAUUAUUUCUGUGAUUUUGUCUACUUUAUGAUCGUCUUUGUCAUUUCUAUUUGUGUGCUUGUCACAACAGAAAGUAAAUGCUAACAACAAAUGAAAUCUACGAUCCUGUCUCUGCUGUGUCAACUGUCACCUCUACAUGCAUCAUUGUACAUGAACAUAUGUUGAUUACACAAUUUUCACAUAACCUGACUAGACAAUGUCUCUUCAAGCUUGCACCUUGCCUAGUGGGACGUCGAACAAUUGCACAUGAACCCACAUCAACACACAAUAGUUAGGCGAACAAUCGCAUUAUCGCUUGGUUAUACCUCUAGAGGGCUAUGGCUUGUAAGGAGCAAUCCUCACUAACUAAAGUGCCUAUUGAGCUCAUUUUGGCUUUUGCAAGCUAUAACUGCAAAUCCAUAACCGAGUGUGUUGCAUUUAUACUCAAAUGAAAGCUUUCUAGCUACAUUGGUAUAUUGUCGAAUGCCUUCUAUACGCUAUUAUGAAUCAAGCCCUACCUGUCAUUUUGCCUUAUCCAUUUAAUAUUCUACUGCAAUACUAUGCUCAGUAAUAUGUUUUACUCACGAAACAUAAAUAAUAACAUCUAUGAGGCAUGGGAGUAUAAAGUUCCACUUUAAAAGCUAGGUUUUCUACCUAUAUUCAAGGUUCAUCACUUAACAAGAAAUCUAUACAUUGACUAGAUCAUCUUAUGCAAUAUAUGCUAGAAAAACAACUGAAAUAAAACGAUGAAGAUAUAGGUGUAGAUCACUCAAUUCGGAGACUUAAACCCACCAAUUUCAUUAGGACGAUCCAUAAAAGCUCGAUCCAAGAUGUGGAGUUCACUAAACAACCCUACAAGAGGGUUUCUAACUCAUUAAAAUCAUCUAAAAGUCUCCUAGGAGAAAACUCCCAAAUCUGAACUCUAAAACCACAUUCUAUCUAAAAUCUUUCAAAACUAGCAAAAUCACACUAUAUAGAGUGUAGAGGAACAAGAACUCACAUUUUUUAAGCCCUACUCCCUAAACCAAGCCUUUUGGCCUUAGAAUUGAGCUCUCAAAGCAUGGUUCCACCUCUUCUUUUACUCCAACACCGAGCUCGAUCAAGGUUGGACCUUCAAAGAGAGGAGAAAGUAGGGAAGUGAGGCUUGGGGAAGAUCUAAUGAUGGUGAGGGAGAAGGAGAUGAAGGAGAAAGAGAGGGGGAGGGUUUACUUUCCUUGAGUGAGGAGAAAAUGAGAAAGAGGGAGUGAGAGAGGGUAUUUGUAAGAUAUUGAAUCCCCAUCAUAUUAAACCACUUUUGGUCAAAAGGACCAAAGCGUGGCUAGAAAAAUGCUUGGACAUGGUCCAUGUGACAUUCCAAUCAUGUUGGAAAGGUCAAAGUUGAGUUCUAAAUGAGGUUAACGAGUUUUAACAUUGCUCGACGCGAAAUGGAGCUGGAACAAUGCUAAACUGCAGUCUGGGCAUUGCUUAACCGGUUAAACAUCAGGAUGGUACGGUACCAGGCAGGCACCCAAGAGCAGCUGCUCUCGGGUUUGAGUGUUUAAGGCUAUUUAACUGGUGACACCCCUGGUGCGUACCGGUACCAGGUCAGCUACCCGAGAAGGCAGCUAUCGGGUUUGGCUGUUGCGUAAUUGGUUAAUUGGUAACAGAAUCACGCGUACCGGUACCAAGUGCAGAAAACUACAGGAUGCAGUAUGUUGUAAAUGACAAUUGUUGGGGGGCUUUUCUGCAAUUGUGGCAGCUUAUAAAUGGACCCCAUUUCCUCUUCUUAUGUUCACAGUCAGAGAACACUCUUCUUCACUCUUUUUCUUUCUUUCUCUCUCUAGAAGCUCUCUCAAGGGGGAUCUAAGAGGAGGAAUUGGUGGAGAAGGAAGCAAAGAAGUGGAAUUUCAUCUUCUUCUUCUUCUUCCUUUGCUUGGAGAGGAAGGCUUUGAGGUAAGCUCUACGAGUUUCAAUGGUAGAUUUCUAGGGUUUCAUUUUUAAACUCUAGAAUUGGUUUUGGUAGAACCCUUUAGUGCUAAGUAGAUGAUUAUUGCGUGAAUCAAGAGGCUUUAUGGUGUAUUCUUGCAAUAUUGAUCAUCUAGGGUUCUAAAGAGGGUUUUGUUGGAAAGAGAUCUAAAGUUGGGAUUGAUAUCUUUUAUACCUAUUUAUUAGGUAAUCGAAUGCGUUGGUGAACUCGGUUCGGCGAUCCGACAAGCUUGCUUUUACAAGCACCAUAGCAAUCGGAGGAAUUAGGCCGCGGAAAAUUACAAAAGUUGGAGUCUAGCUUCUUGGCAUCACCAGGAGGUGGAUGGUGUCCAUCCCGAAGCAGUUGAACUUCUUCCUAUGUCCGAGUUGUUUUAUUAUAGUAUAUGUUCAUAUAUUGUUAUCAUGCAUUAUAGGUUAUGUUAAGUAGUUGUACUUCAAUUCCUUGCAUGUUUUCAUAGUAGAAAUCAUAUAGUGAGUUGAGCACUUGAUUUAGUGGACACAUGAGGAUUGGGUCUUGACAUGGAAUCCUAUAGUGCCAAAGAAUAAAAGAUGAACUUGGACAUGUAAAUUAACUCAAAGAGUAGCAUUUGGACUAGUGUAGUAGAAACACUAUGACAUGAACUUAGGAAUAAAUGAUGAUUUCCUGAGUAGUAGCAUGUGAACCAAAGAGUGGCAUUUGGACUAGUGUAGUAAAAACACUACGACAUUAACUUAGGAAUAGAUGAUGAUUUCCUGAGUAGUAGUAUGUGAACUAGUGCAGCAGAGGCACUAAAUAUCCUCGAGUGAGAGGAUUGGAUCGUACUCACAUAGUCUGUGUAACCUUGGCGUGUUGCUCCACCCCAAGUAGUGAGCUCCGAAGUCGUCGUCGCGUUUGGGUAACUUGAUUACCCAGCAGGCAGUCUCGGGUGUGUGUAGCGCAGAGUCUACCCACCGGCGAGAUUUGAGAUGUGAGUUUGGGCGUAACCUCUGGGUUAGCCGAGAUAAGAUUGGAUAUUAGUGUCACGCCCCGGGGUCCCUUUUCAGUUUAAAACAAAGCGGAAAAGCGUCUGAAUUUUUUUUUUUUUUUUGAAAACCUGACCCCAGAGUAUGCCAGAUCCGCCACAAAUACAGGGAAUCCACUGUUCACGCGGACAGAGUCUCCCCUGUAUUUGCACGGCGUCGAUCAAAUACACAGUACAACCAGGAUACAACCACAACCAGAUGAAUAUAAAGAUAACUAUACAUUCAUACAUUCACCAUUCACAUCACAGUUUUACAUUCAAGGUUUAAACAGAAAUCCACAAAAAUCUUUUGAAAACUGUUUCCUACAUAGAAACCUUUAUUCUUUUAAAAACGCUACCACGAGGGGUAGAAAACCUUUUAUUUUACAAAAUCCAGA
Molecule: long non-coding RNA, 10263 nt
Filed under: Ananas comosus (pineapple)
Lineage: Eukaryota; Viridiplantae; Streptophyta; Magnoliopsida; Poales; Bromeliaceae
Description: long non-coding RNA (ACOM_LNC027856)
Source: RNAcentral